Molecule: small nuclear RNA, 160 nt
Filed under: Canis lupus familiaris (dog)
Lineage: Eukaryota; Metazoa; Chordata; Mammalia; Carnivora; Canidae
Description: U4 spliceosomal RNA (multiple genes)
Rfam family: U4 spliceosomal RNA (bases 1-82)
About the family: U4 small nuclear RNA (U4 snRNA) is a component of the major U2-dependent spliceosome. The structure of U4 snRNA from yeast and human has been reported.
Source: RNAcentral
AGCUUUGCAUAGUAGCAGUAUUGUAGCCAAUGAGGUUUAUCCGAGGCGCGAUUAUUGCUAAUUGAAAAAGCUGCCCAAAUAGAGGUCUAGGGUCAAGAUGUAGUAAUAGCAGAAGUUCCCAGUAGACACCUCACAGUAUUUAUGACGCACUUCUCAGGGC